UACGACGCCUUGCAAGCGUUAUCCGGAAUUAUUGGGCGUAAAGCGUUUGUUGGCGGGCGAGUGUGUUUAAUGUUAAAUCUUAAAGCUCAACUUUGAAAUUGCGUUAAAAACUGCUUGUCUUGAGUAUGGUAGGGGUAAAGGGAAUUCCCAGUGUAGCGGUGAAAUGCGUAGAUAUUGGGAAGAACACUAAACAGCGAAGGCACUUUACUAGGCUAAUACUGACGCUGAGAAACGAAAGGUAAGGUAGCGAAACGGAUUAGAUACCCGUGUAGUCUUACCCGUAAACUAUGGACACUAAACGGUAAAUUUUUAAUUUACUGUUAAAGCUAACGCGUUAAGUGUCCCGCCUGGGGAGUAUGCCUGCAAAAGUGAAACUCAAAGGAAUUGACGGGGGCCCGCACAAGCGGUGGAGCAUGUGGUUUAAUUCGACGGUACACGAAGAACCUUACCAGGAUUUGACAUGCUAGAUAGUUGCUUGAAAGAGUAACGUGCCGUAAGGAAUCUAGACACAGGUGGUGCAUGGCUGUCGUCAGUUCGUGUUGUGAAAUGUUGGGUUAAGUCCCGCAACGAACGCAACCCUUGUCUUUAGUUAUUUUCUAAAGAGACUGCCUGUAAUAAACAGGAGGAAGGUAAGGAUGAGGUCAAGUCAUCAUGCCCCUUAUGUCCUGGGCUACACACGUGCUACAAUGGGAAAGACAAUGAGCUGCAAAUCUGUAAAUUUAAGCAAAUCUCUUAAACUUUCUCGUAGUUCGGAUUGUGGGCUGCAACUCGCCCACAUGAAGUUGGAAUCGCUAGUAAUCGCCAGUCAGCUAUAUGGCGGUGAAUCCGUUCCCGGGCCU
Molecule: ribosomal RNA, 839 nt
Filed under: uncultured bacterium
Lineage: Bacteria
Description: bacterial SSU rRNA
Rfam family: Bacterial small subunit ribosomal RNA
Source: RNAcentral